RNAcentral lists this ribosomal RNA (243 nucleotides) under uncultured bacterium. RNAcentral's name for it is "partial 16S ribosomal RNA". It matches the Rfam family "Bacterial small subunit ribosomal RNA", at positions 524 to 766 of the family's 1533-position model. The record is from RNAcentral.
UACGUAGGGUGCGAGCGUUAAUCGGAAUUACUGGGCGUAAAGCGUGCGCAGGCGGUUUUGUAAGCCAGAUGUGAAAUCCCCGGGCUUAACCUGGGAAUGGCAUUUGGGACUGCAAGGCUGGAGUGCGGCAGAGGAGACUGGAAUUCCUGGUGUAGCAGUGAAAUGCGUAGAUAUCAGGAGGAAUACCGAUGGCGAAGGCAGGUCUCUGGGCUGACACUGACGCUCAUGCACGAAAGGCGUGGG